AGCGAACGCUGGCGGCAGGCCUAACACAUGCAAGUCGAACGAACCUUUCGGGGUUAGUGGCGGACGGGUGAGUAACACGUGGGAACGUGCCUUUAGGUUCGGAAUAACUCAGGGAAACUUGUGCUAAUACCGAAUGUGCCCUUCGGGGGAAAGAUUUAUCGCCUUUAGAGCGGCCCGCGUCUGAUUAGCUAGUUGGUUGAGGUAAUGGCUCACCAAGGCGACGAUCAGUAGCUGGUCUGAGAGGAUGAUCAGCCACAUUGGGACUGAGACACGGCCCAAACUCCUACGGGAGGCAGCAGUGGGGAAUCUUGCGCAGUGGGCGAAAGCCUGACGCAGCCAUGACGCGUGAAUGAUGAAGGUCUUAGGAUUGUAAAAUUCUUUCACCGGGGACGAUAAUGACGGUACCCGGAGAAGAAGCCCCGGCUAACUUCGUG
This 434-nucleotide ribosomal RNA is filed under the name uncultured bacterium. Its description in RNAcentral is "partial 16S ribosomal RNA". It matches the Rfam family "Bacterial small subunit ribosomal RNA", at positions 29 to 507 of the family's 1533-position model. The record is from RNAcentral.